This 1042-nucleotide long non-coding RNA is filed under the name Capra hircus (goat). RNAcentral describes it as "lncRNA (ENSCHIG00010013684.1)". Lineage: Eukaryota; Metazoa; Chordata; Mammalia; Artiodactyla; Bovidae. The record is from RNAcentral.
CCCCUUUGGUACAUUAGUGUAGUUAACCUUCGCUCUGGCCGAGACCAAGAAGGGUUAAUAGAGACCCGGCUCCUGACAGCCUGCAGGUCAGCGAUGCUCUCGAGCUUCCAUCGCAGGAAUUAAAGGAUUACCGAGGAAAGAAUUCGAGGCACCAAUCGCUUCACACCUGAACACAUCACUCCAAUCCACUGGGAUUCAUAUUAAAAAAAAAAAAAAAANNCUCCCUUCUGAAAAACGGUUAAUUGGAUCUGCAGUUAUAUUUCCUGUUGCGCCGAGGAGCCAAGUAGGGCAGCCUGAACUGAAUUCCUCAAGCUGCCAAGGAAAUCGAGCAAAUUUGGGGAGAGGGAAAGUAAAUAAAUAAAUAAGCCAGCAAGCUAUCAGCAUCUUCAAGAAGAGCAGAUUGUCAGGGAAAGGUUAAGAGCGAGAAAGGGACGAAGAAACGAAAGAGAUUCUUCCCUUUCUCGCCGUGUCCCCCUUUUCCCCCCCCGAAAUUUGUGCCUUCUUGAUUAUUUGCAGCUGUUUCGAACCUCCAGGUUUGUCCAUAGGAGAGAGCGAUGCCUCUUCCGCUUCCAGAAGUGAAAAGCCUUUUUUUUUUAAAUACUCCAGGACUUUGCUGCUUGAGAUUUUCCUCUUCUUCCCAGCAAACCUCCCCCCUAAGUCCAGCGAGCCCCGCAAGCCUUUCGCACUUCAGGCCCCUGCGUCUCGCCUUGGGGCCACAGACCCAUUUCCCUCGAUGGACAGUCGCUUGAGACCCCCGCCGGCCAUAACUGCUUUCCCAGCCCUGGAGAGGACCGAGACCUCCUUAGGGGCGUCGCUGGUGUGUGUCACCCCGCCUCUGCCUAUCUGCUCGCCCUCAGACUCCCUUCCACCUGCCCAGGAGCCCCGAACCCCGAAUCCACUCGCCCUACGGUCCGCAGCGGGUCCCGCCACCCGGCGGCUGCCCUUGACCCUGGAUGGGUGGGAAGGAGAGGCAGCCAGCGGGGCUGGGCCGCUGCGGGAACACUAAGGGAGACGGGGGUGCCCAGAGAUUCAUCCCGGAGAA